CCUACGGGCGGCAGCAGUCGAGAAUCAUUCACAAUGGGGGAAACCCUGAUGGUGCGACGCCGCGUGGGGGAAUGAAGGUCUUCGGAUUGUAAACCCCUGUCAUGUGGGAGCAAAUUAAAAAGAUAGUACACAAGAGGAAGAGACGGCUAACUCUGUGCCAGCAGCCGCGGUAAUACAGAGGUCUCAAGCGUUGUUCGGAAUCACUGGGCGUAAGGCGUGCGUAGGCUGUUUCGUAAGUCGUGUGUGAAAGGCGCGGGCUCAACCCGCGGACGGCACAUGAUACUGCGAGACUAGAGUAAUGGAGGGGGAACCGGAAUUCUCGGUGUAGCAGUGAAAUGCGUAGAUAUCGAGAGGAACACUCGUGGCGAAGGCGGGUUCCUGGACAUUAACUGACGCUGAGGCACGAAGGCCAGGGGAGCGAAAGGGAUUAGAUACCCCAGUAGUC
RNAcentral lists this ribosomal RNA (445 nucleotides) under uncultured bacterium. Its description in RNAcentral is "partial 16S ribosomal RNA". It matches the Rfam family "Bacterial small subunit ribosomal RNA", at positions 338 to 795 of the family's 1533-position model. The record is from RNAcentral.